This 162-nucleotide unclassified non-coding RNA is filed under the name soil metagenome. Its description in RNAcentral is "partial internal transcribed spacer 1". The record is from RNAcentral.
AAGAGACGUUGCCCUUCGGGGUAUACCUCCCACCCUUUGUUUAUUAUACCUUUGUUGCUUUGGCGGGCCCGUCCUCGGACCACCGGCUUCUGCUGGUCAGUGCCCGCCAGAGGACCUAAAACUCUGUUUGUUAAUAUUGUCUGAGUACUAUAUAAUAGUUAA